This 63-nucleotide transfer RNA is filed under the name mouse gut metagenome. It matches the Rfam family "tRNA", at positions 6 to 65 of the family's 71-position model. From Rfam's summary of the family: Transfer RNA (tRNA) molecules are approximately 80 nucleotides in length. Their secondary structure includes four short double-helical elements and three loops (D, anti-codon, and T loops). RNAcentral also lists the same sequence under 1 other name. The record is from RNAcentral.
AGUAGUUCAAUUGGUAGAGCGUCGGUCUCCAAAACCGGAAGUUGAGGGUUCGAGUCCUUCCUG